Molecule: unclassified non-coding RNA, 208 nt
Filed under: fungal sp.
Lineage: Eukaryota; Fungi
Description: partial internal transcribed spacer region
Source: RNAcentral
AAGUCGUAACAAGGAUCAUUAACACGUAUCCAAACGUUAAACCCCCCUGUGAACCUUCACCUGUACUCGUACGUCCGUUAGAAAAAGCAGCACGACCGGGUCGCUGGGCGCAAGCCCCCCUAUAACAAACCCCCUGCCAAUCGCGGCCGCGAUAAUACGCAGUCGACCAAAAACCGAACAACUGUUAACAAUGGAUAUCUUGGUUCUC